UUACGUCGCCAUCUUGAUUUCUUUGUCUUCCGCUUGGCAACAGCAAGCAAAUCGCGCGAUUUGCGUUGAAAGAGUGUUUGAACCAUUUCAAAAAGUUCUUGGGCCCCCAUGAAGAACACAAAAACCAUUCAAAACCCCCCACUUAUUAGUUCGUCUAGUUAUAGUUCUUCUCUCAGAGUAAAUGCUGCUUCAAGAUCGUGAUGAAGACAAAUGCAUUGGUUGUGCAUGUAGUGUGUAACUUUUCACAUAGGGGAGACCGGGGUUAGUUGGAACAUGGGGAAAGGUACUGACAGAGAGUUACUCCUACUCCUGGGAGGCUGUGUACUUCAACAUGGAUACAUGUGGUGUCUGUGAUGGAAAUCUCCAACUUAUUGGGACACAAGCUUUAUCAUUCUGUGCGUAUCUCUCAAAAACCAAUGUUAAGGUUGGCCAAGUACUUCAGCAAAUAGGAUGGGCUGUUGGAGAUGAAGCAACGUGGAAUACAAGGCGUUGCUGUAAGCCAUGUUAUAAGAUUCUUGGAAAAUGGAACACUGUUAGAAGGAAUCUGGAAUAUGUCUGCUGUGAGUGGAGAGAAAGAACAGGGAAGUCAUUGCCUGGCCUGCAAGCCGUAGAAAAAGAGACAAAAAAAUCUAGAGUCAUACA
Long non-coding RNA from Lytechinus variegatus (green sea urchin), 642 nucleotides. RefSeq lists it as uncharacterized. NCBI's taxonomy places the organism in Eukaryota, Metazoa, Echinodermata, Echinoidea, Temnopleuroida, Toxopneustidae. The transcript has 3 exons. The record is from RefSeq and is a predicted model, not a curated record.